Molecule: transfer RNA, 77 nt
Filed under: Gemmatimonadota bacterium
Lineage: Bacteria; Pseudomonadati; Gemmatimonadota
Also listed under: 1 other name
Description: Gemmatimonadetes bacterium tRNA-Arg
Rfam family: tRNA
About the family: Transfer RNA (tRNA) molecules are approximately 80 nucleotides in length. Their secondary structure includes four short double-helical elements and three loops (D, anti-codon, and T loops). Further hydrogen bonds mediate the characteristic L-shaped molecular structure. tRNAs have two regions of fundamental functional importance: the anti-codon, which is responsible for specific mRNA codon recognition, and the 3' end, to which the tRNAs corresponding amino acid is attached (by aminoacyl-tRNA synthetases). tRNAs cope with the degeneracy of the genetic code in two manners: having more than one tRNA (with a specific anti-codon) for a particular amino acid; and 'wobble' base-pairing, i.e. permitting non-standard base-pairing at the 3rd anti-codon position.
Source: RNAcentral
GCCCCCGUAGCUCAGUCGGAUAGAGCAACAGAUUCCUAAUCUGGAGGUCGGAGGUUCAAAUCCUCUCGGGGGCACCA